UACGGAGGGAGCUAGCGUUGUUCGGAAUUACUGGGCGUAAAGCGCGCGUAGGCGGCUUUGUAAGUUAGAGGUGAAAGCCCGGGGCUCAACCCCGGAAUUGCCUUUAAGACUGCAUCGCUUGAAUCCGGGAGAGGUGAGUGGAAUUCCGAGUGUAGAGGUGAAAUUCGUAGAUAUUCGGAGGAACACCAGUGGCGAAGGCGGCUCACUGGUCCGGUACUGACGCUGAGGUGCGAAAGCGUGGGGAGCAAACAGG
RNAcentral lists this ribosomal RNA (253 nucleotides) under uncultured bacterium. RNAcentral describes it as "partial 16S ribosomal RNA". It matches the Rfam family "Bacterial small subunit ribosomal RNA", at positions 524 to 776 of the family's 1533-position model. The record is from RNAcentral.